CCCUUAGAUGUUCUGGGCCGCACGCGCGCUACACUGAUGCAUUCAACGAGUUCUUACCUUGGCCGAGAGGCCUGGGCAAUCUUUUGAACGUGCAUCGUGAUAGGGAUAGAUUAUUGCAAUUAUUAAUCUUGAACGAGGAAUUCCUAGUAAACGCUGGUCAUCAACCAGCAUUGAUUACGUCCCUGCCCUUUGUACACACCGCCCGUCGCUACUACCGAUUGAACGGUUUAGUGAGGGCCUCGGAUUGGUCUCGGCCCGCUCUUUACCGGGCGGCGCCGUUGGUCGAGAAGACGCUCGAACUUGAUCGUUUAGAGGAAGUAAAAGUCGUAACA
RNAcentral lists this ribosomal RNA (332 nucleotides) under uncultured eukaryote. Its description in RNAcentral is "partial 18S ribosomal RNA". It matches the Rfam family "Eukaryotic small subunit ribosomal RNA", at positions 1470 to 1796 of the family's 1831-position model. The record is from RNAcentral.